CAUCGAACUAGAAAACCCAACAAAAUUGAGAUCAGAACCAACAAAAUUGAGAUCAGAAAACUUUACCAUUUCCAAGGAAUCUAUAGGAGCUUGGAAGAAGUGAAGCCAUGGGCGAAACUGUACAGAGAGAUCUGGUAUCGACAACUAGAAGAUAGUCUCUUAAACCCUAAGAGAGAGAGAGAUUUAGAGAGCUUAAUAAGAUGGAGAAAGCGAAAGCGCACAGAUAUCGAUGGAAGAGUGAAAGAGAAAGAGAGAGAUUUGUUGCCGUUACGCGAGUCCAAGGUCUCUCUUCGUUUUUGUCGC
Arabidopsis thaliana (thale cress) is the source of this 303-nucleotide long non-coding RNA. RefSeq annotates it as other RNA. The record is from RefSeq. The transcript has a single exon. Lineage: Eukaryota; Viridiplantae; Streptophyta; Magnoliopsida; Brassicales; Brassicaceae.